Molecule: long non-coding RNA, 598 nt
Filed under: Homo sapiens (human)
Lineage: Eukaryota; Metazoa; Chordata; Mammalia; Primates; Hominidae
Description: HSALNT0340870
Source: RNAcentral
CAAGCAACUCAAUAUCCAGUAAUUCCCUGGAAUUGUUGAAAAGAAUAAAAAGUCACAAGAUGUACAUUGCUGGCCUCAGCUGGAUUUUCCCAGGGUCAGGUGCCCAUUCCUACCUAAUCAAAGGACACUUCUGCUGACCUGCACCUAGAAUACCCUGUUCUGUGCUGAUGACUCAGAUGUAAGAAUGAUGAAGUGCAUCGGCUGGCAUGCAGAGAACAAUAAGAAAAAGAACUGAGUUGUGGGAAGACAUGAGGAAAGGACAUGAGGCUCUUAAUAACAGCUGCCAAGUACUGCAGUCGGGAAUCUGGAGCAAAGUGAUUCAAUUCUGACCACUGCCUGUGAGUAAAUGGGAUUUUAUUUUUCAAUACUUUUGUUUAAUAGUACCUCCUUCAUUACAUGUGAACAGCACUCCAGGACAGUAAAUCAUGAAAUGGGAAUAAAGCCUGUAAUUUUAAUUAACAUAUUUUAAAAUGUUUCUAAUUUGUAUGCAUUUGAUCAAAUUUUCAUUUGCAUUGAGCUAUUUUUUUUCUUUCUCAUGUAAUGUUUGACAUUACCAUUUCUUUCUUUAAUGAAAUACUAAUAUUUAAUAAAAUAUAUU